UACGUAGGGUGCAAGCGUUGUCCGGAAUUAUUGGGCGUAAAGAGCUCGUAGGCGGUCUGUCGCGUCGGCUGUGAAAACCCGGAGCUCAACUCCGGGCCUGCAGUCGAUACGGGCAAACUGGAGUACUGCAGGGGAGACUGGAAUUCCUGGUGUAGCGGUGAAAUGCGCAGAUAUCAGGAGGAACACCGGUGGCGAAGGCGGGUCUC
This 206-nucleotide ribosomal RNA is filed under the name uncultured bacterium. RNAcentral's name for it is "partial 16S ribosomal RNA". It matches the Rfam family "Bacterial small subunit ribosomal RNA", at positions 524 to 729 of the family's 1533-position model. The record is from RNAcentral.